UUGAAUCCUUGCUUGAUUCAUGCUAAAAACACCUAGUUCGUGAUUUGCAUAAAUUGAACCAAGGUUGAAGAUGAAGUGUACCUGCACGCAUUUUUUCAAAUAACUAGUUGUUGACGCCCUAAUUCAAACAUUUUAUUUUCAGUUUUAUUUUCAUUUACUUUCUGAUUUUAUUUUUGAUUGAUCUUUAAUUCAUUUUGAUACAAUUUUCUUACAGAAAAUCAAUAAAAAUAUUUUGCAUCUCAGACUUUUUUUCAUAAUUUUU
This 262-nucleotide long non-coding RNA is filed under the name Lathyrus oleraceus (garden pea). Its description in RNAcentral is "Pisum sativum (pea) long non-coding RNA (PSAT_LNC021492)". The record is from RNAcentral. Lineage: Eukaryota; Viridiplantae; Streptophyta; Magnoliopsida; Fabales; Fabaceae.